UAAAACUCAAAUGAAUUGACGGGGGCCCGCACAAGCGGUGGAGCAUGUGGUUUUAAUUCGACGCAACGCGAAGAACCUUACCUGGCCUUGACAUGCAGAGAACUUUCCAGAGAUGGAUUGGUGCCUUCGGGAACUCUGACACAGGUGCUGCAUGGCCGUCGUCAGCUCGUGUCGUGAGAUGUUGGGUUAAGUCCCGUAACGAGCGCAACCCCUAUCCCUAGUUGCUAGCAGUUCGGCUGAGAACUCUAGGGAGACUGCCGGUGACAAACCGGAGGAAGGUGGGGACGACGUCAAGUCAUCAUGGCCCUUACGACCUGGGCUACACACGUGCUACAAUGGACGGUACAGAGGGUUGCCAAGCCGCGAGGUGGAGCUAAUCUCAUAAAACCGUUCGUAGUCCGGAUCGGAGUCUGCAACUCGACUCCGUGAAGUCGGAAUCGCUAGUAAUCGUGAAUCAGAAUGUCACGGUGAAUACGUUCCCGGGCCUUGUACACACCGCCCGUCACACCAUGGGAGUGGGUUGCACCAGAAGUAGCUAGUCUAACCUUCGGGGGGACGGUUACCACGGUGUGAUUCAUGACUGGGGUGAAGUCGUAACAAGGUAACCGUA
This 610-nucleotide ribosomal RNA is filed under the name uncultured bacterium. Its description in RNAcentral is "bacterial SSU rRNA". It matches the Rfam family "Bacterial small subunit ribosomal RNA", at positions 895 to 1504 of the family's 1533-position model. The record is from RNAcentral.